UGGGGAAUUUUGGACAAUGGGGGCAACCCUGAUCCAGCAAUGCCGCGUGAGUGAAGAAGGCCUUCGGGUUGUAAAGCUCUUUUGUCAGGGAAGAAACACCGGCUCUAACACAGUCCGGGAAUGACGGUACCUGAAGAAUAAGCACCGGCUAACUACGUGCCAGCAGCCGCGGUAAUACGUAGGGUGCAAGCGUUAAUCGGAAUUACUGGGCGUAAAGCGUGCGCAGGCGGUUAUACAAGACAGGCGUGAAAUCCCCGGGCUUAACCUGGGAAUGGCGCCUGUGACUGUAUAGCUAGAGUGUGUCAGAGGGGGGUAGAAUUCCACGUGUAGCAGUGAAAUGCGUAGAUAUGUGGAGGAAUACCAAUGGCGAAGGCAGCCCCCUGGGAUAACACUGACGCUCAUGCACGAAAGCGUGGGGAGCAAACAGG
This 428-nucleotide ribosomal RNA is filed under the name uncultured bacterium. RNAcentral describes it as "bacterial SSU rRNA". It matches the Rfam family "Bacterial small subunit ribosomal RNA", at positions 355 to 776 of the family's 1533-position model. The record is from RNAcentral.